GACGAACGCUGGCGGCGUGCUUAACACAUGCAAGUCGAACGCUGAAGACCUGGCUUUUGUGGGGUUGGAUGAGUGGCGAACGGGUGAGUAACACGUGAGUAACCUGCCCUCUUCUUUGGGAUAACGCCCGGAAACGGGUGCUAAUACUGGAUAUUCACUGAUUUUCGCAUGGGGGUUGGUGGAUAGGUUUGUUCUGGUGGGGGCUGGGCUCGCGUCCUAUAAGCUUGUUGGUGGGGUUUUGGCCUGCCAUGGCUUUGACGGGUGGCCGGCCUGGGAAGCUGACCGGUCACAGUGGGACUGAGAUACGGCCCAGACUCCUGCGGGAGGCAGCAGUGGGGAAUAGUGGACAAGGGGCGAAAGCAUGAUGCAGCGACGCCGCGUGAGGAAGGGAGGCCUUCGGGUUGUAAACCUCUUUCGCACAUGGUCAAGCCGCAACUGUGGGUUGUGGUGAGGGUAGUGGGUAAAGAAGCGCCGGCUAACUACGUG
Molecule: ribosomal RNA, 486 nt
Filed under: uncultured bacterium
Lineage: Bacteria
Description: partial 16S ribosomal RNA
Rfam family: Bacterial small subunit ribosomal RNA
Source: RNAcentral